Molecule: ribosomal RNA, 468 nt
Filed under: uncultured bacterium
Lineage: Bacteria
Description: partial 16S ribosomal RNA
Rfam family: Bacterial small subunit ribosomal RNA
Source: RNAcentral
GACGAACGCUGGCGGCGUGCUUAACACAUGCGAGUCGAACGGAGAGGCCCUGCUUUUGUGGGGUGCUCGAGUGGCGAACGGGUGAGUAACACGUGAGUAACCUGCCCUUGACUUUGGGAUAACUUCAGGAAACUGGGGCUAAUACCGGAUAGGAGCUCCUGCUGCAUGGUGGGGGUUGGAAAGUUUCGGCGGUUGGGGAUGGACUCGCGGCUUAUCAGCUUGUUGGUGGGGUAGUGGCUUACCAAGGCUUUGACGGGUAGCCGGCCUGAGAGGGUGACCGGCCACAUUGGGACUGAGAUACGGCCCAGACUCCUACGGGAGGCAGCAGUGGGGAAUAUUGCACAAUGGGCGGAAGCCUGAUGCAGCAACGCCGCGUGCGGGAUGACGGCCUUCGGGUUGUAAACCGCUUUCGCCUGUGACGAAGCGUGAGUGACAGUAAUGGGUAAAGAAGCACCGGCUAACUACGUG